GAUUCAGCCUUCGAUAUACUCAGCAAUAUAAAAAGCGAUCUAACCUACCGUUCUGUUCGUCUUUUGAAAAAUAUGCUGAACAGAUAUCACGACAGACUUACGAAGAGAUAUCCAGACAUCAUCGAGAAGCGGAUGGAUCUCUAGUUAUCUCGUAUUUUUAGUAUAAAUAUAUAUAAUAAUAUUUAAUAAAUAAAAACAAUUAAUUUUUUAAUUUUAUGAUGCAGAUUAUUAGAUCAAUCGUACUCUAGAUUUUCUGCACCGCGGGUGGUCCACAAAGAAUUUUGCUAGUGGAAAGU
RNAcentral lists this long non-coding RNA (296 nucleotides) under Elaeis guineensis (African oil palm). Its description in RNAcentral is "long non-coding RNA (EGUI_LNC030145)". Lineage: Eukaryota; Viridiplantae; Streptophyta; Magnoliopsida; Arecales; Arecaceae. The record is from RNAcentral.